UCAUUGACCCCUGCAUUGAUAACAAACAAGGAUUCGGAUAGAUGCCUCUCCAACACUACUUGCUCCUUGAACAUCUUUGUGGAACCACCAUGUGGCUGGAAAACAAUGUAGCAAUGAAGAGGGAAGAAGAUCAAAAAGGAAAGCAUGAAGAAAGUUGUGAAAUACAUUGUCGCAAUAUCUCAUUUAUCUUCCUUCAUGUUAAGUCAUUCCUUGUCUUCGUGGGACUAGACUUGUCGGUCUAUUUUACUGGAAUUCAGGACAACUAUUAUUGGGUAUGCAUUAAACUUGGAUUUGGAUUUUCAAGGUGCAAACCUGGAGAAUAAAAGCAAGAACAACUCGAUAUUCAUGACCAUGCAUAUGAAAAAGAUCUUGUUGAGAGCGGUAAGUCGUACUUUAGUAAUCUCUAUGCCUCAAAGGGGAUUAGUCCUUAGUUAUCAGCAGAGGAAUACCUUUGGUGUACAUUUAAAAAAAUGAACAUGUUAUUCAUUAAACCACAUGUAACUAUGUAAUGACAAAUGGGAUUCACCGAUCAAAUAUUGUAAAAUAUGGUAUUUAAUUUUUUUUUCCCGA
Neltuma alba is the source of this 570-nucleotide long non-coding RNA. RefSeq lists it as uncharacterized. The record is from RefSeq and is a predicted model, not a curated record. The transcript is spliced from 2 exons. NCBI's taxonomy places the organism in Eukaryota, Viridiplantae, Streptophyta, Magnoliopsida, Fabales, Fabaceae.